AUGACAGGCGCGUGUACUAACCGAUAUACUACCAGGGA
This 38-nucleotide transfer RNA is filed under the name Moniliophthora perniciosa FA553. RNAcentral's name for it is "tRNA-Asp". The record is from RNAcentral. Lineage: Eukaryota; Fungi; Basidiomycota; Agaricomycetes; Agaricales; Marasmiaceae.